This 569-nucleotide long non-coding RNA is filed under the name Drosophila guanche. The record is from RNAcentral. Lineage: Eukaryota; Metazoa; Arthropoda; Insecta; Diptera; Drosophilidae.
CCGUCAUUUAUAUAAAGCGCAGAGAAAUUGUCCAGCAUUGAUGGACUUCAAUUGGUCACAAAUGUAGGCAAACACAGGGAUUGCAUUUUAGAUGCCAAUUCAACUCGACUAAGGAACCAAAGGCAAGAAUGGCAUUAUAUACAUAAAUGAUCUCAAAGGAAAACCAGGAUGUUCUGGCAUAGCCUUAAAAAAUGUUUUAGAGAGUCGGACAAGGCCAAUAAAUAAAAUACGCGUUGCUAAUACAAUUUACUUUCAAUUGUUUAGUUAUCUAUGCAACCGGAAGUCGUACUUUGUCACAAAAACUGAUUGAAACGAGAAGGGACGUGUGAGACGCGUCACAACUUUUAUACCCGGUAAUCAGUAGAACAUCUGUACCUUAAUGGUUUUUUCCAAUCUUAAAUUUUACAUUUUACAGUUUUUCUACAUCUUUCAUCAACAUCUUCAUCUACAUCACUUCUCACACCAACACGCUCCUUUAGCUCGACGCCAUUCCCUAGACCCACACACUGCAGACUCGCGGCAGAGGCAGGGGCCGAAGCAGAGUGUUAAUGAGAGAAUGUGAAUAAAAC